ACCACUGAGCCACCUUCCCAGCCCUGAUAAUCUUUUUUAAAAAAUACUUAUUGUAAAAAUGUUGUACAGAGGGCUGGGAAGGUGGCUCAGUGGU
RNAcentral lists this microRNA precursor (94 nucleotides) under Dipodomys ordii (Ord's kangaroo rat). RNAcentral's name for it is "mir-3473 microRNA precursor family". It matches the Rfam family "mir-3473 microRNA precursor family". Lineage: Eukaryota; Metazoa; Chordata; Mammalia; Rodentia; Heteromyidae. The record is from Rfam by way of RNAcentral.